AGGUUAAGUUAACAAGGGCGCAUGGUGAAUGCCUUGGCACUAGGAGCCGAUGAAGGACGGGACUAACACCGAUAUGCUUCGGGGAGCUGUACGUAAGCUAUGAUCCGGAGAUUUCCGAAUGGGGCAACCCAGCAGUUUUAAUCAACUGUUACCACUAGAUGAAUUCAUAGUCUAGUUGGAGGUAAACGCUGUGAACUGAAACAUCUCAUUAGCAGCAGGAAUAUAAAGAAAUUUCGAUUCCCUAAGUAGCGGCGAGCGAACGGGGAACAGCCCAAACCAAAGUGCUUGCACUUUGGGGUUGUAGGACUGAACAUUUGAGUUACCAAAGAACUUGAUAGUCGAAGGAUUUGGGAAAAUCCGCCAUAGAUGGUGAUAGCCCAGUAGAUUAAAUCAAAUUCUCUCAGUUCAGGAUCCUGAGUACGGCGGAACACGUGAAAUUCCGUCGGAAUCCGGGAGGACCAUCUCCCAAGGCUAAAUACUACCUAGUGACCGAUAGUGAACCAGUACCGUGAGGGAAAGGUGAAAAGCACCCCGGGAGGGGAGUGAAAUAGUUCCUGAAACCAUGUGCCUACAAUAAGUCAGAGCGCGUUAAUGCGUGAUGGCGUGCCUUUUUUAGAAUGAACCGGCGAGUUAUGAUCCCGUGCAAGGUUAAGACUAAAAAGUCGGAGCCGUAGCGAAAGCGAGUCUGAAAUGGGCGUUUUGAGUACGAGGUUAUAGACCCGAAACCAGGUGACCUAUCCAUGUCCAGGUUGAAGGUGCGGUAAAACGCACUGGAGGACCGAACCCGUGUAAGUUGAAAAUUGCUGGGAUGAGGUGUGGAUAGCGGUGAAAUUCCAAACGAACUUGGAGAUAGCUGGUUCUCUCCGAAAUAGCUUUAGGGCUAGCCUCGGAAUUAGGAUCAUGGAGGUAGAGCACUAUUUGGACUAGGGGCCCGUCUUGGGUUACUGAAUUCAGAUAAACUCCGAAUGCCAUUGAUUCAUAUCCGGGAGUCAGACGAUGAGUGAUAAGAUCCACCGUCGAAAGGGGAACAGCCCAGACCAUCAGUUAAGGUCCCUAAAUGUAUGCUAAGUGGAAAAGGAUGUGGAGUUGCAUAGACAACUAGGAUGUUGGCUCAGAAGCAGCCACCAUUUAAAGAGUGCGUAAUAGCUCACUAGUCGAGUGAUCCUGCGCCGAAAAUGUACCGGGGCUAAGCAUACUACCGAAACCAUGGAUGCGACCAUUAGGUCGCGUGAUAGGAGAGCGUUCUAAGGGCGGUGAAGCAAGAUCGUGAGGACUUGUGGAGCGCUUAGAAGUGAGAAUGCCGGUAUGAGUAGCGAAAGAUAGGUGAGAAUCCUAUCCACCGAAUGACUAAGGUUUCCUGGGGAAGGCUCGUCCUCCCAGGGUUAGUCGGGACCUAAGUCGAGGCCGAGAGGCGUAGACGAUGGAUAACAGGUUGAGAUUCCUGUACUAGUUAAGUGCGUUUGAGCAAUGGAGGGACGCAGGAGGCUAAGAUGUGCAUUCUGUUGGAUUAGAAUGUCCAAGCAGUAAGUCUUGUGAAGAGUCAAAUGCUUUUCACUUUAAGGACAAGCUGUGAUGGGGAGCGAAAUUUAGUAGCGAAGCGUCUGAUGUCACACUGCCGAGAAAAGCUUCUAGUGAGUACUUAACUACCCGUACCGCAAACCGACACAGGUAGUCGAGGAGAGAAUCCUAAGGUGAGCGAGUGAACUCUCGUUAAGGAACUCGGCAAAAUGACCCCGUAACUUCGGGAGAAGGGGUGCUGAUCGCAAGAUCAGCCGCAGUGAAUAGGCCCAGGCGACUGUUUAUCAAAAACACAGGUCUCUGCAAAAUCGUAAGAUGACGUAUAGGGGCUGACGCCUGCCCGGUGCUGGAAGGUUAAAAGGAUGGGUUAGCUUCGGCGAAGCUCAGAAUUGAAGCCCCAGUAAACGGCGGCCGUAACUAUAACGGUCCUAAGGUAGCGAAAUUCCUUGUCGGGUAAGUUCCGACCCGCACGAAAGGCGUAACGAUCUGGGCACUGUCUCAACGAGAGACUCGGUGAAAUUAUAUUGUCCGUGAAGAUGCGGACUACCCGCGACAGGACGGAAAGACCCCAUGGAGCUUUACUGUAGCUUGAUAUUGAGUGUUUGUACAGCUUGUACAGGAUAGGUAGGAGCCAUAGAAACCGGAACGCUAGUUUCGGUGGAGGCGUUGGUGGGAUACUACCCUCGCUGUAUGACCACUCUAACCCGCACCACUAAUCGUGGUGGGAGACAGUGUCAGGUGGGCAGUUUGACUGGGGCGGUCGCCUCCUAAAAAGUAACGGAGGCGCCCAAAGGUUCCCUCAGAAUGGUUGGAAAUCAUUCGCAGAGUGUAAAGGCACAAGGGAGCUUGACUGCGAGACAGACAGGUCGAGCAGGGACGAAAGUCGGGCUUAGUGAUCCGGUGGUACCGUAUGGAAGGGCCAUCGCUCAACGGAUAAAAGCUACCCUGGGGAUAACAGGCUUAUCUCCCCCAAGAGUCCACAUCGACGGGGAGGUUUGGCACCUCGAUGUCGGCUCAUCGCAUCCUGGGGCUGUAGUCGGUCCCAAGGGUUGGGCUGUUCGCCCAUUAAAGCGGUACGCGAGCUGGGUUCAGAACGUCGUGAGACAGUUCGGUCCCUAUCCGUCGCGGGCGUAGGAAAUUUGAGAGGACCUGUCCUUAGUACGAGAGGACCGGGAUGGACAUACCUCUGGUGUACCAGUUGUGCCGCCAGGCGCAUCGCUGGGUAGCUACGUAUGGAUGUGAUAAACGCUGAAAGCAUCUAAGUGUGAAACACACCUCGAGAUGAGAUUUCCCAUUCCUUUAUGGAAGUAAGACCCCUGAAAGAUGAUCAGGUAGAUAGGUUAGAAGUGGCAGUGCGGUGACGCAUGAAGCGGACUAAUACUAAUCGGUCGAGGACUUAACCAAG
This 2923-nucleotide ribosomal RNA is filed under the name Lactiplantibacillus plantarum subsp. plantarum. RNAcentral's name for it is "Lactobacillus plantarum subsp. plantarum 23S ribosomal RNA". It matches the Rfam family "Bacterial large subunit ribosomal RNA". Lineage: Bacteria; Bacillati; Bacillota; Bacilli; Lactobacillales; Lactobacillaceae. The record is from RNAcentral.